AUAAUUUCUCUUUAAGGACCCCGUGACAGACGUUUUUUUUUUCUGACGUCAUGACUCACGAGCCUUUCUCGAGUUUUCUGCUCGGCCGCCAUUAAUUUCCCCUGGACUCGGAUGAAUUAAGGUAGGUUGGAAAUGUUUUAAUUAAUAUACUCGAUAAUGCAAAGGUUGAACAUGUGUUUUAGCUGUUUAUGAGUUAAUUAACGUUGUUUGUGAACAUGAAUACUAACGAAAUCGUAUCUAACCGAAUUUUUGAAUUUGCAGGCCGCGCAAAUUCAAACAUUCGGUUAGUUACGAUUUCAACUUUUCUAUUCUAUACAAGAUGUUGGAUUUACUCGUUUUAUUCUAAAGAAAUGUAUUCAGUUUGGACCAUGUAAGUAUGUCUCUAAAUAAUUUUUAAAAGAAACGUCUCUACCGUGUAUGUAGCGUGUACUAUUUGAAAUGCUGCGGGCAGGAAGUGCGUGGGGAGCGGGAGAGACGCUCGAGUCGAGGCUGAGGGGAUGCUCGCAUUACAAUUAUUGAGUUUAGGUUUUUAAAUUAAUGUUUGUCAGUUCUUUUAUUUGUCUCUUUCACGUUAGCUCUGAUUUAUUGAUCUAUUUGUUCGACCAAAAUGACGAAGAAAGUCUGAUCUAAAACUCUUCAAUGUUUGACGACUAAGGACACUUUGCAAUAACAUUACAUGUGACAGUAACCAUUGACAUUACAUUAAUCACAGAAGAUCACAGUUCCAGCUAAAAAUAUUUACUGUUCUACUGAAGAAAUAAAAAAAAGUCAACUUGAAUGGCCUGAUGACUGAAAACAUUCACCUGAGAAGUGUGUCCUGAAGGCCCUUAUCUUUUUCCUGAGAGAAAGUCCUGAAGACCUCAUCAAGGAGUACUUUCUGAGUUGAACGAUAACCCGACAGAUGAUUGAGGAGCAGCUCACCAUGGCGAUGUUCAUUAUUUGGAAGGAGGGGAGAAUUUCAUGAACCAUCUGCUGACAUCGAGGGAGUUAAAGUUUUGAAUCAACUUACUUAAGUUACAUCAGCUUGUGCCCUGCUUCUAGGCCUACAGUUGGAAGCAGCUAUUCUCCUCUUGCCUGCACUGUUCAAGGUGGACCUGGGGUUGCUGUUUGACAUUGAGGGCCAUGCUCAGACCAGCCCUCUUGUCAUCCCAACACCUAAGAUAGUGCCUAAAGCCUGCGGGAGGAUCAUCUCAUGCAGUAUGACCACAUUUUGUUCACGUUGGAUGGCCAGUUAAUCACAGAGUAGAGUGAGGACAUCUUGAUGGCACUGGACCUCCUCCUAUGUGUAUAUUUUGCAUUUGGAAUCGAAUCCAAUCCAGUAUCCUAAAGGACUGAAAAAGACACUGACCUUUUUGAAGUGUGUUGUUUUGAAAUUGAAGGAUGCAGACGGACUUCCUGUCACUGUAAAUUGAGUGUACAACUCAAUCUGAGUAGAAUUUCGGAGUCAAUAUUCUCUCUUGCUCCCUUUCUUAUGGUUUUAGUUCCAGUUUCUAUAUUGUUUUUGAAAUCAUGAAGGACUUACAAAAAUGUUAGUUUCUAUAUUUUGGACUUUUAUUUAUGUUGCCUAGCAGGUUUUUUGUCUUAUUUUUGUUCUUGUACUAUAUUUUUUGUUUUGUACUAUUUGAUUGAUCUUGAGUAAAUAAAUAAUGUACAUUUCUACAUUUUGGACUUUUAUUUAUGUUGCCUAGCAGCUAUGGAUUUUAAUUUUACUAUUAUAGGUGAACA
Molecule: long non-coding RNA, 1725 nt
Organism: Megalobrama amblycephala (Wuchang bream)
Lineage: Eukaryota; Metazoa; Chordata; Actinopteri; Cypriniformes; Xenocyprididae
Exons: 7
Source: RefSeq, a predicted model, not a curated record